UGGGAUGAAAGGUUUUAUAUUUAAGGCAAUUUGUUAUUUAGUAAUAUCGAAUUUUUAGUGGGAGUAAAAAUACUUUUAUGUUUAAGAGAGACGAUAAGACCCUAAAAUCUUUAUCUCUGGGGAGAUUGCUUAUCUUUAUAGGGGUUUUGUUUGGGGUAAAUAUUUUUAAAGUAUAAAAUAAUGUGUUACUAUUGUGUGUGAGAAUCUUAUAUUGGGUUGUUGGUGUAAGUUACUUUAGGGAUAACAGCGUAAUUUUUUAUCGGAAAAGGUAUUUAUUAAAUUUUUACGACCUCGAUGUUGAAUUAAAAUUUCCUUUUGUGG
This 321-nucleotide ribosomal RNA is filed under the name Chelicorophium robustum. RNAcentral's name for it is "partial 16S ribosomal RNA". The record is from RNAcentral. Lineage: Eukaryota; Metazoa; Arthropoda; Malacostraca; Amphipoda; Corophiidae.